RNAcentral lists this ribosomal RNA (327 nucleotides) under uncultured soil bacterium. Its description in RNAcentral is "bacterial SSU rRNA". It matches the Rfam family "Bacterial small subunit ribosomal RNA", at positions 26 to 311 of the family's 1533-position model. The record is from RNAcentral.
AGAGUGAACGCUGGCGGCAGGCCUAACACAUGCAAGUCGAACGGCAGCACAAGGGAGCUUGCUCCCUGGGUGGCGAGUGGCGGACGGGUGAGGAAUACGUCGGAAUCUGCCUAGUUUGUGGGGGAUAACGUAGGGAAACUUACGCUAAUACCGCAUACCGACCCCAUGCCGAGAGGCGGCGGGGUAGAAAGCGGAGGUACCGUUCGGGCUUCGCGCAGAUAGAUGACGCCGACGUCGGUAUUGGCGUUGGUCGGGACCGGGGUAAACCGCCCAACGAAGGCGACGACUCCGUAGCGUGGUCGUAGGAGAGGAUGACUCGACGCCAAC